RNAcentral lists this ribosomal RNA (293 nucleotides) under uncultured bacterium. Its description in RNAcentral is "partial 16S ribosomal RNA". It matches the Rfam family "Archaeal small subunit ribosomal RNA", at positions 455 to 747 of the family's 1478-position model. The record is from RNAcentral.
GUGCCAGCCGCCGCGGUAAUACCGGCAGCUCAAGUGAUGGCCGCUGUUAUUGGGCCUAAAGCGUCCGUAGCCUGCCAGGUAAGUUCGUCGGGAAAUCUACGUGCCCAACACGUAGGCGGCCGGCGAAACCUGCCUGGCUUGGGACUGGAUGGCUCGAGGGGUACGACCGGGGUAGGAGUGAAAUCCUAUAAUCCUGGUCGGACCACCGGUGGCGAAAGCGCCUCGAGAAGACAGAUCCGACGGUGAGGGACGAAAGCCAAGGUCACGAACCGGAUUAGAUACCCCAGUAGUCC